This is a non-coding RNA of Triticum urartu, 103 nucleotides long. NCBI's taxonomy places the organism in Eukaryota, Viridiplantae, Streptophyta, Magnoliopsida, Poales, Poaceae. The record is from Rfam.
GAAAUACUCCCUCCGUUCCAAAUUACUCGUCGCAGAAAUGGAUGUAUAUAAACUAUAUACAUCCAUUUCUGUGACGAGUAAUUUGGAACGGAGGGAGUAACUU